GAUGAACGCUAGCUACAGGCUUAACACAUGCAAGUCGAGGGGCAGCAUGAACUUAGCUUGCUAAGUUUGAUGGCGACCGGCGCACGGGUGAGUAACACGUAUCCAACCUGCCGAUGACUCGGGGAUAGCCUUUCGAAAGAAAGAUUAAUACCCGAUGGCAUAGUUCUUCCGCAUGGUAGAACUAUUAAAGAAUUUCGGUCAUCGAUGGGGAUGCGUUCCAUUAGCUUGUUGGCGGGGUAACGGCCCACCAAGGCGACGAUCAGUAGCCGGACUGAGAGGUUGGCCGGCCACAUUGGGACUGAGACACGGCCCAG
Molecule: ribosomal RNA, 314 nt
Filed under: uncultured bacterium
Lineage: Bacteria
Description: bacterial SSU rRNA
Rfam family: Bacterial small subunit ribosomal RNA
Source: RNAcentral